This 465-nucleotide ribosomal RNA is filed under the name uncultured bacterium. RNAcentral describes it as "partial 16S ribosomal RNA". It matches the Rfam family "Bacterial small subunit ribosomal RNA", at positions 338 to 795 of the family's 1533-position model. The record is from RNAcentral.
CCUACGGGGGGCAGCAGUGGGGAAUAUUGCGCAAUGGGCGAAAGCCUGACGCAGCGACGCCGCGUGAGGGAUGAUGGUCUUCGGAUCGUAAACCUCUGUCAGCAGGGAGGAACGGUCACUGUGCUAAUCAGCAGUGAAUUGACGGUACCUGCAAAGGAAGCACCGGCUAACUCCGUGCCAGCGGCCGCGGUAAUACGGCGGGUGCGAGCGUUAAUCGGAAUUACUGGGCGUAAAGCGCUCUUAGGUGGUAUGUCAAGUCAAGAGUGAACUCCCCGCGCUCAACGGGGGAACUGCCUUUGAAACUGGCAAACUGGAGUGUGUGAGAGGAUAGUGGAAUUCCAGGUGUAGGAGUGAAAUCCGUAGAUAUCUGGCGGAACAUCAGUGGCGAAGGCGACUAUCUGGCACAUAACUGACGCUGAGGAGCGAAAGCGUGGGUAGCAAACAGGAUUAGAUACCCUAGUAGUC